UAACCUCUGACGAUAAACGUGCAUGUUG
This is a non-coding RNA of Flavobacteriaceae bacterium TMED147, 28 nucleotides long. NCBI's taxonomy places the organism in Bacteria, Pseudomonadati, Bacteroidota, Flavobacteriia, Flavobacteriales, Flavobacteriaceae. The record is from Rfam.